This 253-nucleotide ribosomal RNA is filed under the name uncultured bacterium. Its description in RNAcentral is "partial 16S ribosomal RNA". It matches the Rfam family "Bacterial small subunit ribosomal RNA", at positions 524 to 776 of the family's 1533-position model. The record is from RNAcentral.
UACGUAGGGUGCAAGCGUUAAUCGGAAUUACUGGGCGUAAAGCGUGCGCAGGCGGUUUUGUAAGGCUGUCGUGAAAGCCCCGGGCUCAACCUGGGAAUUGCAUUCGAGACUGAAUAGCUAGGGUGCGGUAGAGGGAAGCGGAAUUUCCGGUGUAGCGGUGAAAUGCGUAGAUAUCGGAAGGAACAUCAGUGGCGAAAGCGGCUUCCUGGACCAGCACCGACGUUCAGGCACGAAAGCGUGGGGAGCAAACAGG